RNAcentral lists this ribosomal RNA (459 nucleotides) under uncultured bacterium. RNAcentral's name for it is "partial 16S ribosomal RNA". It matches the Rfam family "Bacterial small subunit ribosomal RNA", at positions 29 to 523 of the family's 1533-position model. The record is from RNAcentral.
AACGAACGCUGGCGGCAGGCCUAACACAUGCAAGUCGAACGUGAAGCCACCUUCGGGUGGUGGAAAGUGGCAGCCGGGUGAGUAACGCGUGGGAACGUGCCUUUCGGUUCGGAAUAACCCAGGGAAACUUGGGCUAAUACCGGAUACGCCCUUCGGGGGAAAGAUUUAUCGCCGAAGGAUCGGCCCGCGUCGGAUUAGCUAGUUGGUAGGGUAAUGGCCUACCGAGGCGACGAUCCGUAGCUGGUCUGAGAGGAUGACCAGCCACACUGGGACUGAGACACGGCCCAGACUCCUACGGGAGGCAGCAGUGGGGAAUAUUGGACAAUGGGCGAAAGCCUGAUCCAGCCAUGCCGCGUGGGUGAAGAAGGCCCUAGGGUUGUAAACCCCUUUCAGCGGGGAAGAUAAUGACGGUACCCGCAGAAGAAGCCCCGGCUAACUCCGUGCCAGCAGCCGCAGUAA